This 580-nucleotide ribosomal RNA is filed under the name uncultured bacterium. RNAcentral describes it as "partial 16S ribosomal RNA". It matches the Rfam family "Bacterial small subunit ribosomal RNA", at positions 355 to 932 of the family's 1533-position model. The record is from RNAcentral.
UGGGGAAUCUUCCGCAAUGGACGAAAGUCUGACGGAGCAACGCCGCGUGAGUGAAGAAGGUUUUCGGAUCGUAAAACUCUGUCUUUUGGGGCGAACGUGAGUAUGGUGAACAAUCAUAGUCAGUGACGGUACCAAAGGAGGAAGCCACGGCUAACUACGUGCCAGCAGCCGCGGUAAUCGUAGGUGGCAAGCGUUGUCCGGAAUUAUUGGGCGUAAAGAGCGCGUAGGCGGGAUAGUCAGUCUGUUGUAAAGUGCGGGGCUCAACCCCGUGAUCGCAAUGGAAACAGCUAUUCUUGAGUGCAGGAGAGGAAAGUGGAAUUCCCAGUGUAGCGGUGAAAUGCGUAGAUAUUGGGAGGAACACCAGUGGCGAAGGCGACUUUCUGGACUGUGUCUGACGCUGAGGCGCGAAAGCCAGGGGAGCGAACGGGAUUAGAUACCCCGGUAGUCCUGGCCGUAAACGAUGGGUACUAGGUGUGGGAGGUAUCGACCCCUUCCGUGCCGGAGUUAACGCAAUAAGUACCCCGCCUGGGGAGUACGGUCGCAAGACUGAAACUCAAAGGAAUUGACGGGGUCAUAGCUG